Molecule: long non-coding RNA, 452 nt
Organism: Cebus imitator (Panamanian white-faced capuchin)
Lineage: Eukaryota; Metazoa; Chordata; Mammalia; Primates; Cebidae
Exons: 3
Source: RefSeq, a predicted model, not a curated record
GCGGCCGCCCGGCCCGCCUGACAUACCAGGAAUAGCAGCACACAAUUGCACCUUUCCCGGCCAAGAAACAUCCCCCGCGGGGGAGCGCGGCCCGCCGCCCUCACCUGCCGCCGCGCCGGCCGAGCCCGCUCCGCGCUCUCCCUCCGGGAUCCGGCCCUGCCGCCAACUAUAGAAGUCACUUUCAAGAGAUCAGGAGAAGAUGGCCAAAUUAAAAGCCUCCACCAACCAUCCUCCCAACAGGAACAUCAAAUUUAAGAACUAACUACUCAUAAAGGCACCUUCAUAAGGACCAAAAAUCAGAGAGAACAAGGAUAAAGAAGUAUCUAAAUAUGGAGAAAAUGUUAUACAAGUGACCUUUAGAGAUGUUUUAAAGAUGACAAAAUAUUAGUAGCACUUAAGAUGGGCCAACAAGUUUUAUUGUUACCUCUAAUAAAGUUUCAUCACUAGUUUCA